UACGAAGGGGGCUAGCGUUGUUCGGAAUUACUGGGCGUAAAGCGCACGUAGGCGGCCAUUUAAGUCAGGGGUGAAAUCCCGGGGCUCAACCCCGGAACUGCCUUUGAUACUGGGUGUCUCGAGUCCGGAAGAGGUGAGUGGAAUUCCGAGUGUAGAGGUGAAAUUCGUAGAUAUUCGGAGGAACACCAGUGGCGAAGGCGGCUCACUGGUCCGGUACUGACGCUGAGGUGCGAAAGCGUGGGGAGCAAACAGG
RNAcentral lists this ribosomal RNA (253 nucleotides) under uncultured bacterium. RNAcentral's name for it is "partial 16S ribosomal RNA". It matches the Rfam family "Bacterial small subunit ribosomal RNA", at positions 524 to 776 of the family's 1533-position model. The record is from RNAcentral.